GAACGCAGGAGACCGCGCGGGACCGCAAAAGCGGCCUCAGGCACUCGGUGUUCUCCAACCCGGCCCCGCGGCCUGCGGCCGCUCUAGGACACCAAAGGUCCUCUUCUCGGUGGUUGGGGCUGGGCCGCCCCCGCGGCGGGAGCAGCCUACCUCUGGGCUGGGCGGGGCCUGGCCGGAGUCCCCGGCGAGGCGCAGGCCUUGCGUCAAUCUUCAGUCUGCGAACCCGGCCGGAGCUGGGAGAAGGCGCGAAGGACGGGAUGCACAUCCUGCCUGCUCCGGGAAAAACUCAGCCAGCAGCUCCAUCAGCUUUUGCAAAAAAUUCGACCCUCCUUUGCAGAAUGGCAAAAGAAAAUAAACUACCAUUUCUUAGUGUUUUAUUUUCAGCUGAUUUCUUGUUUCUGUGGUUUUGAUUCUAAUUCUUGCUAUAGACGCCUUCAGAUGGUGGAAGCCAAGGAAAGGAACCCUUGACGCAACUUCCUAACCUUUGGACAGAGUGUGGGGUAUGGGAACUCCCCGACUUCCUUUUCUUUUUUCCCUCCAUACAGACCUAAAAGCCUUCAAAAAUGAUCUAACACGCCCCACAGCCCCGGAGUCAAAGCCGGUUCCUGGCCCAGUCCCGUCCUGCAGCAGCCUGCCUCCUCUUUCCUUUCAGCAUGACAGAUGCCGCUGUGUCCUUCGCCAAGGACUUCCUGGCAGGUGGAGUGGCCGCAGCCAUCUCCAAGACGGCGGUAGCGCCCAUUGAGCGGGUCAAGCUGCUGCUGCAGGUACAGCAUGCCAGCAAGCAGAUCACUGCAGAUAAGCAAUACAAGAGCAUUAUAGACUGCGUGGUCGGUGUUCCCAAGGAGCAGGGAGUCCUGUCCUUCUGGCGCGGUAACCUGGCCAAUGUCAUCAGAUAUUUCCCUACCCAGGCCCUUAACUUUGCCUUCAAAGAUAAAUACAAGCAGAUCUUCCUGGGUGGUGAGGACAAGAGGACCCAGUUUUGGCGCUACUUUGCAGGGAAUCUGCCAUCAGGCGAUGCUGCUGGGGCCACAUCCUUGUGUUUUGUGUACUCUCUUGAUUUUGCCCAUACCCCUCUAGCAGCAGAUGUGGGUAAAGCUGGAGCUGAAAGGGAAUUCCGAGGCUAAGAUCUACAAAUCUGAUGGGAUUAAGGGCCUGUACCAAGGCUUUAACGUAUCUGUGCAGGGUAUUAUCAUCUACCAAGCUGCCUACUUCGGUAUCUAUGACACUGCAAAGGGAAUGCUUCCAGAUCCCAAGAACACUCACAUCGUUAUCAGCUGGAUGAUCGCACAGACUGUCACUGCUGUUGCCAGGUUGACUUCCUAUCCAUUUGACACUGUUCGCUGCCGCAUGAUGAUGCAGUCCGGGCGCAAAGGAACUAACAUCAUGUACACAGGCACACUUGACUGCUAGUCGAAGAUUGUUCGUGAUGAAGGAGGCAAAGCUUUCUUCAAGGGUGCAUGGUCCAAUGUUCUCAGAGGCAUGGGUGGUGCUUUUGUACUUGUCUUGUAUGAUGAAAUCAAGACGUACACAUAAGUUAUUUCCUGGGAAUUUUCCCCCUGUGAACAGGCAUGUUGUAUUAUAUAACGUAUCUUGAGCAUUCUCGACAGACUCCUGGCUGUCAAUUUAUCUGUGGCAACUAUUUACUGGUUGAAAAUGGGAAGCAAUAAUAUUCAUCUGACCAGUUUUCUCUUAAAGCCAUUUCCAUGAUGAUGAUGAUGGGACUCAAUUAUAUUUUUUAUUUCAGUCACUCCUGAUAAAUAUCAAAUUUGGAGAAAUAAAAAUAUCUAAAAU
Molecule: non-coding RNA, 1791 nt
Organism: Callithrix jacchus (white-tufted-ear marmoset)
Lineage: Eukaryota; Metazoa; Chordata; Mammalia; Primates; Cebidae
Source: RefSeq, a predicted model, not a curated record